Molecule: ribosomal RNA, 799 nt
Filed under: uncultured bacterium
Lineage: Bacteria
Description: bacterial SSU rRNA
Rfam family: Bacterial small subunit ribosomal RNA
Source: RNAcentral
GCAAGUCGAACGGAGAUUGUAGCAAUACGGUCUUAGUGGCGAACGGGUGAGUAACGCGUUGGUGACCUGCCCCGAAGAGCGGGAUAAUGGUCCGAAAGGACCACUAAUACCGCAUGUGAUCCCAAGGAUUAGCAGCUUGGGAUGAAAGGAAGCAAUUCGCUUCGGGAGGGGCCUGCGUCCCAUCAGCUAGUUGGUAAGGUAACGGCUUACCAAGGCGAUGACGGGUAGGGGACCUGAGAGGGUGGCCCCCCACAAUGGAACUGAAACACGGUCCAUACACCUACGGGUGGCAGCAGUAGGGAAUAUUGGUUAAUGUGCGAAAGCGCGAACCAGCAACGCCGCGUGUGCGAUGAAGGCCUUCGGGUCGUAAAGCACUUUUUGCAGGGAAGAGGAAGGACGGUACCUGCAGAAUAAGUCUCGGCUAACUACGUGCCAGCAGCCGCGGUAAAACGUAGGAGACGAGCGUUAUCCGGAUUUACUGGGCGUAAAGCGCGUGCAGGCGGCAUGGCAAGUUGGAUGUGAAAGCUCCCGGCUUAACUGGGAGAGGUCGUUCAAAACUGCCAAGCUUGAGAGUGGUAGAGGGAAGCGGAAUUCCGGGUGUAGUGGUGAAAUGCGUAGAUAUCCGGAGGAACACCAGUGGCGAAAGCGGCUUCCUGGCCCAUUUCUGACGCUCAGACGCGAAAGCUAGGGUAGCAAACGGGAUUAGAGACCCCGGUAGUCCUAGCUGUAAACGAUGUGAACUUGGCGUCGGCGGGUUUAAAUCCGUCGGUGCCGUAGCUAACGCGAUAAGUUCACCGCC